RNAcentral lists this ribosomal RNA (1425 nucleotides) under Colletotrichum sp. Its description in RNAcentral is "SSU rRNA". It matches the Rfam family "Eukaryotic small subunit ribosomal RNA", at positions 17 to 1472 of the family's 1831-position model. Lineage: Eukaryota; Fungi; Ascomycota; Sordariomycetes; Glomerellales; Glomerellaceae. The record is from RNAcentral.
CUUGUAGUCAUAUGCUUGUCUCAAAGAUUAAGCCAUGCAUGUCUAAGUUUAAAUAAUUUUACUGUGAAACUGCGAAUGGCUCAUUAUAUAAGUUAUCGUUUAUUUGAUAGUACCUUACUACAUGGAUAACCGUGGUAAUUCUAGAGCUAAUACAUGCUAAAAACCUCGACUUCGGAAGAGGUGUGUUUAUUAGAUUAAAAACCAAUGCCCUUCGGGGCUCACUGGCGAUUCAUAAUAACCUCUCGAAUCGCAUGGCCUUGCGCCGGCGAUGGUUCAUUCAAAUUUCUUCCCUAUCAACUUUCGAUGCUAGAGUAGUGUUCUAGCAUGGUUACAACGGGUAACGGAGGGUUAGGGCUCGACCCCGGAGAAGGAGCCUGAGAAACGGCUACUACAUCCAAGGAAGGCAGCAGGCGCGCAAAUUACCCAAUCCCGACACGGGGAGGUAGUGACGAUAAAUACUGAUACAGGGCUCUUUUGGGUCUUGUAAUUGGAAUGAGUACAAUUUAAAUCCCUUAACGAGGAACAAUUGGAGGGCAAGUCUGGUGCCAGCAGCCGCGGUAAUUCCAGCUCCAAUAGCGUAUAUUAAAGUUGUUGUGGUUAAAAAGCUCGUAGUAGAACCUUGGGCCUGGCUGGCCGGUCCGCCUCACCGCGUGCACUGGUCCGGCCGGGCCUUUCCCUCUGUGGAACCGCAUGCCCUUCACUGGGUGUGCCGGGGAAACAGGACUUUUACUUUGAAAAAAUUAGAGUGCUCCAGGCAGGCCUUUGCUCGAAUACAUUAGCAUGGAAUAAUAGAAUAGGACGUGUGGUUCUAUUUUGUUGGUUUCUAGGACCGCCGUAAUGAUUAAUAGGGACAGUCGGGGGCAUCAGUAUUCAAUUGUCAGAGGUGAAAUUCUUGGAUUUAUUGAAGACUAACUACUGCGAAAGCAUUUGCCAAGGAUGUUUUCAUUUAUCAGGAACGAAAGUUAGGGGAUCGAAGACGAUCAGAUACCGUCGUAGUCUUAACCAUAAACUAUGCCGACUAGGGAUCGGACGAUGUUAUUUUUUGACUCGUUCGGCACCUUACGAGAAAUCAAAGUGCUUGGGCUCCAGGGGGAGUAUGGUCGCAAGGCUGAAACUUAAAGAAAUUGACGGAAGGGCACCACCAGGGGUGGAGCCUGCGGCUUAAUUUGACUCAACACGGGGAAACUCACCAGGUCCAGACACAAUGAGGAUUGACAGAUUGAGAGCUCUUUCUUGAUUUUGUGGGUGGUGGUGCAUGGCCGUUCUUAGUUGGUGGAGUGAUUUGUCUGCUUAAUUGCGAUAACGAACGAGACCUUAACCUGCUAAAUAGCCCGUAUUGCUUUGGCAGUACGCCGGCUUCUUAGAGGGACUAUCGGCUCAAGCCGAUGGAAGUUUGAGGCAAUAACAGGUCUGUGAUGCAAGGGC